Molecule: ribosomal RNA, 333 nt
Filed under: uncultured Bacillota bacterium
Lineage: Bacteria; Bacillati; Bacillota
Description: bacterial SSU rRNA
Rfam family: Bacterial small subunit ribosomal RNA
Source: RNAcentral
GACGAACGCUGGCGGCGUGCCUAAUACAUGCAAGUCGAGCGGAUUGAUGGGAGCUUGCUCCCUGAUAUCAGCGGCGGACGGGUGAGUAACACGUGGGCAACCUGCCUAUAAGACUGGGAUAACUUCGGGAAACCGGAGCUAAUACCGGAUAAUCCCUUUCCUCUCAUGAGGAAAGGCUGAAAGAUGGUUUACGCUAUCACUUAUAGAUGGGCCCGCGGCGCAUUAGCUAGUUGGUGAGGUAACGGCUCACCAAGGCAACGAUGCGUAGCCGACCUGAGAGGGUGAUCGGCCACACUGGGACUGAGACACGGCCCAGACUCCUACGGGUGGCUG